Molecule: ribosomal RNA, 465 nt
Filed under: uncultured Aggregatibacter sp.
Lineage: Bacteria; Pseudomonadati; Pseudomonadota; Gammaproteobacteria; Pasteurellales; Pasteurellaceae
Description: bacterial SSU rRNA
Rfam family: Bacterial small subunit ribosomal RNA
Source: RNAcentral
CCUACGGGUGGCAGCAGUGGGGAAUAUUGCGCAAUGGGGGCAACCCUGACGCAGCCAUGCCGCGUGAAUGAAGAAGGCCUUCGGGUUGUAAAGUUCUUUCGGUAUUGAGGAAGGUUGUUGUGUUAAUAGCACGACAAAUUGACGUUAAAUACAGAAGAAGCACCGGCUAACUCCGUGCCAGCAGCCGCGGUAAUACGGAGGGUGCGAGCGUUAAUCGGAAUAACUGGGCGUAAAGGGCACGCAGGCGGACUUUUAAGUGAGGUGUGAAAUCCCCGGGCUUAACCUGGGAAUUGCAUUUCAGACUGGGAGUCUAGAGUACUUUAGGGAGGGGUAGAAUUCCACGUGUAGCGGUGAAAUGCGUAGAGAUGUGGAGGAAUACCGAAGGCGAAGGCAGCCCCUUGGGAAUGUACUGACGCUCAUGUGCGAAAGCGUGGGGAGCAAACAGGAUUAGAUACCCCAGUAGUC